This 73-nucleotide transfer RNA is filed under the name Ailuropoda melanoleuca (giant panda). It matches the Rfam family "tRNA". From Rfam's summary of the family: Transfer RNA (tRNA) molecules are approximately 80 nucleotides in length. The record is from Rfam by way of RNAcentral. Lineage: Eukaryota; Metazoa; Chordata; Mammalia; Carnivora; Ursidae.
ACCUGGCUGGUUCAGUCAAUAGAGCAUGUGACUCUUGAUCUUAGGGUUGUGAGUUCAAGACCCAUGUUAGGUG